RNAcentral lists this unclassified non-coding RNA (379 nucleotides) under fungal sp. RNAcentral's name for it is "partial internal transcribed spacer region". The record is from RNAcentral. Lineage: Eukaryota; Fungi.
AAGUCGUAACAAGGUUUCCGUAGGUGAAUGUCGGAAGAAUCAUUAACACGUAUCCAAACGUAAACAAUCCCCCCGUGAACAUUCAAUCCCGAACCCGCGUAGUUCGCAAUCUCUGGUAAAUCAUAGCCCGGAAAGUAGUUUUGAUUCAGAGACCUCUGGCUACGUGAGAACCUUGGAACAGUUACAAUCGAGCGGUAGUUUCCCCCAAGCGGUCAGUGUCUGAAAGUGUCACUGAUUGUGCAAGGAUAGCGCUUCAACGAUCCUGUACACCGUACACUCGGGCAGGAGCUAUGCCAAAGGGUCCCCAUGCCCCCUUAUAACCCCACAGUUUAAUGUCAAGCUCAAUGUAAUACAUUGGGUAAAAAAAGCGAACAACUGC